Beta vulgaris subsp. vulgaris (sugar beet) is the source of this 144-nucleotide non-coding RNA. NCBI's taxonomy places the organism in Eukaryota, Viridiplantae, Streptophyta, Magnoliopsida, Caryophyllales, Amaranthaceae. The record is from Rfam.
AUCCUUGCACAGGAGGCAAUAUCGCAUCAAAUGAGGUGCAAACCGAUGAGCGAUUUUUGCUAAUUGAAAACUAUUCCGAACCCCCAGUUCGGCCACCUCUGCUUGCAAGUGGCCAACUGAAUUUCUGGACCCUGGUUGUCACCA